UCCCUAAAAGGUGAUGAUGUGUCACUGUUAUGUUUACAGAUUACUGUGUUGCCCCCCAAGUGCUAAAGAAAAAGAACAAUGAAUGCAGGUUUAACCCAGAGUCCCAAUUUUACUUUAAUAUCUUUUUUUUUUAUCAUCUUGUAACAAUAAUUACCAUAAUUGUGAUGUGCUAAAACUUAAACUGCUAAAACUAAAAGUAAUGACCCUUCUUAUAAUUUGGACCAUACACUGUUCAACAUGUGCACACAGCGACAGCACACACUUGUUAAAAAUGUAGUGAUUCACACAGUGUUAUUAGUCAGCCCUCUCCUUUGAUUCACCCCCAUCUGGGUGUGAUACGGCCGGGGCGAGAAUGUGUCACAUGAGGAAUAAGCCACAUAGUGUGACGCUCUAGUGUUGGACUGAACGACUGCGGCGAGGCCGAGGCUUGACCUUCAACCCCCCCUCACAUCACCUGUGUACUGAUAGAUGUCAGGUUUACACCAGGCUGUGUUCUGCUUUUUUAAGGCCUUUACAGGGUUUAACAGCAACCACACAUGCAUUUAAAAGCAUGUGUUCAGUGUGCACGACACACACAAAUUAAAUGUGUCUGGAUAAAAAACCCUCAUCAGGGAGAGAACAUGCUGCCCUGCUGUGGAUCCAUCUGAAGUCAUUCCCUCCAACCCGGCGGGCCUUAAGCGUCUCCCCAGUCUCUGGAAACCCGACCCGGCGGUGUGUUUUUCACUCAAAUCCUACAGCGGUGUUCCCGACCUCAGACAGUGAUCCCAAUCAGGAGGAAUACCCUGAUGCUGCAGUUUGGACCCUCGACGCUGAAACCAAAUAGUAUAAUCGCGUAAUGAGGGAUCCCUCUCCAGGAAACAUACUCCAGUAGGAAAACUGGCCGCUGCUCCUGCUGAUAACUCGCAUGGUUUAUUAUAAAAGCAUCAUUUUAACUGACUCAAAAUGUGAUGAAUCAUGAAUUCCAACAAGUAAACACUGACUGACCAGAGCCCGAUGUGGAUCGUCCUGCGGUUGUGUAAUUAAUAAAACAUUCAGGGGAAGAUAUGAGGUGGACGGGGCAGUGCGCACUUCUGUG
Molecule: long non-coding RNA, 1075 nt
Organism: Sebastes umbrosus (honeycomb rockfish)
Lineage: Eukaryota; Metazoa; Chordata; Actinopteri; Perciformes; Sebastidae
Exons: 3
Source: RefSeq, a predicted model, not a curated record